GGUAACACCAGCGCCACAAGUGGCAAUCGUGAUUAUUGGGCCUAAAGCGUUCGUAGCCGGUUUAAUAAAUCUUUUGUGAAAUCGUCNAGCUUAACUUGACGGAUUGCAGAAGACACUGUUGAACUAGGGACCGGGAGGGGUCUAAAGGUAUUCUUGGGGGACCGGUAAAAUGGUAUAAUCCCCAGAAGACCACCUAUGGCGAAGGCGCCUAGCCAGAACGGAUCUGACUGUGAGGGACGAAAGCUAGGGGAGCGAUCCGGAUUAGAUACCCGAGUAGUCCUAGCCGUAAACUCUGCGAGUUAGGUGUUGCACAUACUACGAGUAUGUGCAGUGUCGAAAGGAAGGCAUUAAACUCGCCGCCUGGGAAGUACGGUCGCAAGACUGAAACUUUAAGGAAUUGGCG
This 403-nucleotide ribosomal RNA is filed under the name uncultured archaeon. RNAcentral's name for it is "bacterial SSU rRNA". It matches the Rfam family "Archaeal small subunit ribosomal RNA", at positions 469 to 870 of the family's 1478-position model. The record is from RNAcentral.